UUGAUCCUGGCUCAGGAUGAACGCUAGCGGCAGGCUUAACACAUGCAAGUCGAGGGGCAGCGGGGAGGAAGCUUGCUUUCUCCGCCGGCGACCGGCGCACGGGUGAGUAACACGUAUGCAACCUGCCCCUGUCAGGGGGACAACCCGCCGAAAGGCGGGCUAAACCCGCGUACAUGCCACCGGGGCAUCCCGGAGGCAGGAAAGGCUUCGGCCGGACAGGGAUGGGCAUGCGGCGCAUUAGGCAGUAGGCGGGGUAACGGCCCACCUAACCGACGAUGCGUAGGGGUUCUGAGAGGAAGGUCCCCCACACUGGUACUGAGACACGGACCAGACUCCUACGGGAGGCAGCAGUGAGGAAUAUUGGUCAAUGGUCGGGAGACUGAACCAGCCAAGCCGCGUGAGGGAUGAAGGUACAGAGUAUCGUAAACCUCUUUUGUCAGGGAACAAAGGCGGGGACGUGUCCCCGGAUGAGUGUACCUGAAGAAAAAGCAUCGGCUAACUCCGUGCCAGCAGCCGCGGUAAUACGGAGGAUGCGAGCGUUAUCCGGAUUUAUUGGGUUUAAAGGGUGCGCAGGCGGUCUGUUAAGUCAGCGGUCAAAGCCCGGGGCUCAACCCCGGCCCGCCGUUGAAACUGGCAGUCUCGAGUUGGAGAGAAGUAUGCGGAAUGCGCGGUGUAGCGGUGAAAUGCAUAGAUAUCGCGCAGAACUCCGAUUGCGAAGGCAGCAUGCCGGCUCCACACUGACGCUGAGGCACGAAAGCGUGGGUAUCGAACAGGAUUAGAUACCCUGGUAGUCCACGCAGUAAACGAUGAAUGCUGGCUGUCCGGGGGGACUGACCCCUGGGUGGCGAAGCGAAAGCGAUAAGCAUUCCACCUGGGGAGUACGCGGGCAACGGUGAAACUCAAAGGAAUUGACGGGGGCCCGCACAAGCGGAGGAACAUGUGGGUAAUUCGAUGAUACGCGAGGAACCUUACCCGGGCUCAAACGGGGAGUGACUCAGGCAGAGACGCCUGUUUCCCACGGGACACUCCCCGAGGUGCUGCAUGGUUGUCGUCAGCUCGUGCCGUGAGGUGUCGGCUUAAGUGCCAUAACGAGCGCAACCCCCCGCGUGCAGUUGCUAACAGUCAACGCUGAGGACUCUGCACGGACUGCCGGCGCAAGCCGCGAGGAAGGCGGGGAUGACGUCAAAUCAGCACGGCCCUUACGUCCGGGGCGACACACGUGUUACAAUGGGUGGUACAGCGGGAAGCCAGGCGGCGACGCCAAGCGGAACCCGAAAUCCACUCUCAGUUCGGAUCGGAGUCUGCAACCCGACUCCGUGAAGCUGGAUUCGCUAGUAAUCGCGCAUCAGCCAUGGCGCGGUGAAUACGUUCCCGGGUCUUGUACACACCGCCCGUCAAGCCAUGGGAGCCGAGGGCGCUUGAAGUGCGUCGCCGCGAGGCGCGCCCUAGAGCGAAAUCGGUGACUGGGGCUAAGUCGUAACAAGGUAGCCGU
Molecule: ribosomal RNA, 1492 nt
Filed under: uncultured bacterium
Lineage: Bacteria
Description: 16S ribosomal RNA
Rfam family: Bacterial small subunit ribosomal RNA
Source: RNAcentral